UCCGUAGGUGAACCUGCGGAAGGAUCAUUACAGAAAGUAAACGCGGAUCAAACCGCGAACUUCUAAACCUUUGACGAUUGACUCAUGUUGCCUCGGCGGGUUCUCCCGCCAGAGGAUACAUCAAAACUCCUGUUUUAACGGUGUUGUCUGAGCUACAAGCAACGAAUCAAAACUUUCAACAACGGAUCUCUUGGUUCUGGCAUCGAUGAAGAACGCAGCGAAAUGCGAUAAGUAGUGUGAAUUGCAGAAUUCAGUGAAUCAUCGAAUCUUUGAACGCACAUUGCGCCCCUUGGUAUCCCGAGGGGCAUGCCUGUUCGAGCGUCAUUUCACCACUCAAGCCUGGCUUGGUGUUGGGCGACGUCCCCUUUGGGGACGCGCCUCGAAACGCUCGGCGGCGUGGCACCGGCUUUAAGCGUAGCAGAAUCUUUCGCUUUGGAAGUCGGGGCCCCGUCUGCCGGAAGACCUACUCGCAAGGUUGACCUCGGAUCAGGCAGGGAUACCCGCUGAACUUAAGCAUAUCAAUAAGCGGAGGA
This 533-nucleotide ribosomal RNA is filed under the name Cenococcum geophilum. Its description in RNAcentral is "eukaryotic LSU rRNA". The stretch from base 171 to 324 matches the Rfam family "5.8S ribosomal RNA". Lineage: Eukaryota; Fungi; Ascomycota; Dothideomycetes; Gloniales; Gloniaceae. The record is from RNAcentral.